Molecule: long non-coding RNA, 485 nt
Organism: Atta colombica
Lineage: Eukaryota; Metazoa; Arthropoda; Insecta; Hymenoptera; Formicidae
Exons: 4
Source: RefSeq, a predicted model, not a curated record
AAUAAUGGCUGGGAGUCUGAUAAUAAUUAAAGAAUAGAAUUAAUAUUAUAAGAUUUAUUAUUAAAGAUUUGGGAACAUCAGUGCAACUAUGACUUACCUGAUUCACCACGGUUCGAUGAAAUAGAAAAUGAAUCCUCAAUGAGAAAUCAUAAUAAUUGCUGUGGCAGAGAGAUUAUAUCCAUAAGGAACUGAAAAGAUUGUCCAGACAAAUGUACGCUAUUGAAGUUCUACUAAAAGAGGAGAAUGCAGAACGAAGUGAGGUUGUAGCACAAGAUCUGUUACCUCCAUUGCCUCUAAUGACGCUGAAACAGUUCUUGCAGUGCGAAAAUCAGAAUUGAAAGUGAAACCAACAUGAUACAAAACAAUUUAUAUGGCACCGUUGACAUCAUUGUUCAAUUGAACGUGAUAGAUGCUCUGACAACAUCGGUAAAAAAAAACUGAGGAGGAUUUUAAAAAAUUUAAUAGAAGAUUAGGGAAAAAACGAA